Molecule: non-coding RNA, 126 nt
Organism: Nannospalax galili (Upper Galilee mountains blind mole rat)
Lineage: Eukaryota; Metazoa; Chordata; Mammalia; Rodentia; Spalacidae
Source: Ensembl
CUGCUCACCAGGGCUUGGUCCUCUCCAUGUGGUCUUGACCUGCCCUUCAUGAGCGAGAGAAUUUGGACUGGUUUGGGGGCGUCCUGUCCAAGUGGACAACAGGAUACCACAGUUUUCAGUACAACA